Molecule: RNA transcript, 3080 nt
Organism: Condylostylus longicornis
Lineage: Eukaryota; Metazoa; Arthropoda; Insecta; Diptera; Dolichopodidae
Gene: spin
Gene name: protein spinster
Exons: 9
Source: RefSeq, a predicted model, not a curated record
GUUUCGGUUGCAUUUUGUUUUGAGUUCGCGAUAAAAGCAGUAUUCAAUAAAAGAAGUUGUCUUUUCUAAUAAGGAAUAUAUAAAAGAUUAUUGUUGUAAAAAAUAAAUAAAUAUUUAUGCCUUUUGUUCUCUAAUAAUAAAAUUUUAAACUUAAAGGCAUAAAAAGUGUUUGUUAAUUUUUAUUUUUAUAUAUAUUUUUUUGAAUAAAAAAACGAAAGAUUUUUUUAUAUUAUAAAUAAAAUUUUAAAGAGUGUUUUUUGAAUGUCUAAUCAAAAAAAAUUUAAUUAUAUGCCAAUUGCAAUGAAUAAAGAAAAUAGUGAUAGUGGGCAUUCAUCCCGAACGUCUUCAAUAGGAAAUGAUGCUACUAGAAAUAUACCAAAUUCAUAUUCAUCACAAGCCCUAAUGAAUAACAUUGAUUCAGAUAGUGUAAUAACAACCGGAACUAAUCCUGUUAGGGGUAAUACAACCACAUUAACAAGUUCAUCAAAUUCAAAACAAUGGUUUACAGUUGGAGUAUUAUGUUUUGUCAAUUUAAUUAACUAUAUGGAUCGUUUUACAAUAGCAGGUGUUCUAAGUGAUAUACAAGAAGAGUUUAAAAAAGGAGAUGACUGGGGUGGAUUAUUACAAACAGUUUUUGUUUUAUCAUAUAUGAUAUUUGCACCAUUAUUCGGUUAUUUAGGUGAUCGUCAUUCAAGGCGUAUAAUAAUGCUUAUAGGUGUAUUUUUAUGGAGUACAACAACUUUAUUAGGUUCAUUUAUGUAUAAUCAGUCAUGGUUUAUGACAUUUAGAGCAUUUGUUGGAAUUGGUGAAGCAUCAUAUAGUACAAUUGCACCAACAAUUAUAUCAGAUUUAUUUAUACAUGAUAUGAGAUCUAAAAUGUUAGCAUUAUUUUAUUUUGCUAUACCAGUUGGAUCAGGAAUGGGAUAUAUUGUCGGAUCGGAAACGGCAAAAGCCGCUGGCACAUGGAGAUGGGCAUUACGUGUAACGCCAAUUUUAGGUGCAAUUGCUGUUCUAUUAUUAUUUUUAAUAGAAGAACCAGAGAGAGGUAGUAGUGAAGGUGCCACAUCACAUACAUCAACGUCUUCAUAUCUAGAUGAUAUAAAAUAUUUAAUAAAAAAUCGUUCCUUUAUGUUAACAACAUGUGGCUUUACAUGUGUUGCUUUUGUUACCGGUGCAUUAGCAUGGUUCGGACCAAAAUUCAUUCAUUUAGGCCUAUUAACACAAACUGAAAAUAAAGAUGUCACAAUUAAUGAUGUUUCAUAUAAAUUUGGUAUCAUUGCAAUGUUUGCUGGUAUGAUAGGUGUACCUUUAGGUUCCUUUUUGGCUACACAUUUUCGACCAACUCAUGAAAAUAUUGAUCCAAAAAUAUGUUUCUACGGCUUAAUGAUAUCAUCUCCACUUGUUUAUUUUUCAUUGAUAACACCAAAAUCAGGUUUAGGAGCUUGUUUAUUUUUUGUAUUUCUUGCAAUGACUGCAUUAAAUUUAACGUGGUCGAUAGUAGCAGAUAUUAUUUUGUAUGUGGUGGUUCCAACACGAAGAUCAACAGCUGAAGCAUUUCAAAUUUUAAUUUCGCAUGCUUUUGGUGAUGCUGGAAGCCCUUAUUUAGUUGGAGUGAUAUCGGAAGCUAUAAAAAAAUAUCUAAGAAAAUCAGUGGCGGAUGCUCCCGAAACCUUAUCAGCGGGAUUGAAAAGUUUAGCAUUAACAGUUGGCCAAGUAAAUUCUACAAUAAGUGCGACGACUACUACGGCACUAUCUACUACAAUUGGUUCGAAAAGUUCAGAAAUGCCAGAUGAUUCAUUUAUUAUCCAAUUUCAAGCUUUACAAUAUGCCUUAUUUUCAACAAGUUUUAUUGAAGUUAUUGGCGGAAUUUUCUUUUUAAUAACGGCUGUGUAUAUUGUAAGAGAUAAAUUGCGUGCUGCACAAGAGACUAGGGUUAACGAAAACGAAAUGAGUGAAGAUUCAACGGUUUCUGUGUCCUCAAUCAUUGAUUUAAGCCUACAGCCUCGUGUUUAAAAUUUUCUAUUUUAAAAAUUUGGAUCCACAAAUUUUGUCUAUUUUAGAUAUUAUUUUCUUUAUCAAACCUGAUUAAGAUUUAUUUAAGAGUUAAAGGAUCUAAAAACUAUUAGUAAAAUACGUUUCUUAUAGAAAACGAAGUUAAUGCAAAUUCAAAUGAUAUUUCUACUGAAGCUAGUGAGGAAGAAUCAUAGUAUCGAUAAUAUUAAAAAAAAAACUUUAUUACAUAAAAUGCAUAUAUUUUAUACGCAUAUAUAUAUGUAUGUACACAUAAUUUUAUCGUUACUAUUAGCACGUUAUGUAAAAAAAAAAUGAAUGACAAUUUUUAAGUUAAACCUUAAUUAUUAUUAUAAAUAAGAAUUUUUAUGUAUAAACAUUUUUGUAUGCUAUGCAUGAUUGUUUCCUAUUUAAUUUAAUAUUCUCAAUAAUAUUAUAUAUGUAUUAAAAUUUUUUAAUAAGUAUAAAAUAAUAAUUAUAGGAAUAGAAUCUCCUGCAUAAUAUAAUAAUUUUUUUUUAUUAUUUACUUGGAGAUCAGAACUGAAGUUAAAUUAUAUAUAUUUAUAUAUAAAUAUAUUAAUUGCUCAUAAUGAACUUUUUAAAAUAUUAAAAAUAUUGAGCUUAAUUGAAAUUUUCUGAAAAUAAUUACAAUCAAGGUAUGAAAUUAAAAAGCAUUUUGUUUUAAUUUUCAACAAAUAACUAGGGAACAUAAAAAUUAUUUUGCAAACACACUUUGUUUUUUGUUUUAAUUUCAAUUUGAAAAAUUUUCUGAGUCGAGAUCCCGAAAUUUUAUUCAUAUUCAAUUUAAUAAAAUCAUUUCAUAUUGAUUUUUUAAUUAAUUACUAAAAAAUUUCUAAAUUUAAUAUUAAAGCUCAAAUUUUAAAGACUGUUUUGCAAAAUAUUUUUUAUCAUUGUUUAAAUAAAUUUUAAUUGUAUGUGCAAUGUAUUGUAAUUUCAAAGUUUAUUUAAUAAAUACAGUGAUUAUUUAAUUUGUUAAAAUUUCGAUAAUUUUGUAAUGUAUUAGAGAAAAUAACCUAUGUCCAUCCAAUUAAUUAUGCCCAUAUAAAUAA